Molecule: long non-coding RNA, 39975 nt
Organism: Columba livia (rock pigeon)
Lineage: Eukaryota; Metazoa; Chordata; Aves; Columbiformes; Columbidae
Exons: 4
Source: RefSeq, a predicted model, not a curated record
CAGAUUCAUGAGGUCUCCACAGCCCCUGGAGUAGCCAGAAUCUGAUACAAAUCAGUUGCCAUUCUUGUAGUCAACCCCAGCUGACUGAAGAAGAGCACGAGUAUCGGGAAGCUGCCUUAUUUUAACUAAUAUAACUAUAUGUUAUGAAUGUCUUCCUUUUCUAAAUCAGUUCCCCUUAUCUGCUGGGCAAUCCAGGCAUAAAGAAACUGUUGCAUGGCAAGAGAUUCUUUCUAGGUUAAAGGACUGUUACCAUUACUGUAGAAGAAUUCUUGCAUACCAGUGGGGGAGAAGUAUUAAGCCAUAAUUCUUAUUACACCACUUGCACGCAUUCAUUAACACCAGUGUAUCUCAUGUUUUGAAAAGGUCCUAAGAAUUCAUAAUGUUAUGCACUAUGUUAUGGACUGUAAAUAUGUAAGUCUAGUACAGGGAAGUUAUUUCUGUUUCCUGGUGACAUAAAUUAGUCAAUUUUUAAUUUUUUUUUUUUAGUAAAUUUUUCAUUCCUGUGAAGAUGGACAGAAAACAAUAUGUCUUAACAUUGAAGGUGGAAAUUUCCAGGAAGCCAAAUUCCAAGAACAUGAGGUGCAAUGGAAUGAGAGCAGCUCCACAAUUGAAGGCCUAAGAGCUUGCACACAAGGCUAACAUAUUCCUUUAACAUCCUAGCUUUUCUUCUACAUGGUCUUGGUCUUGUUGGGAUUCAGCCACCUUACAGUCCUCUAUUCAUACUUUGCUGGGAAAGCUGCCUGAACUAAACAGCUCAAAUGUAUUGGACACACUCAGAUGUGUGGGAGACAUGAACUGCAGUUCUUCAUCAUUAUGAUGCUAUAAAAAACCUUAACGAGUAAGAAAUAUGGUGCUGUCAUCCGAAGUUGGGCCUGACCUUGAAGAUUUUCAUGCUUGUUGAAUUCAAUAUACCAUACUGCAUUAAUAGUUUAAGUUUUAGAAAGUUAUCUAUCAUAACCAAUAUUUGGAAGAGGAAACAAGCUCUUGUGCUUCAGCUCUGAAUGUCACCCAGCUUUAUAUACUGAGCAUUACAUCCUAUGGUAUGGAAUGUCCCUUUGGACAUUUGGGAUCAGCUCUCCCAGCUGUGUCUCCUCCUAACUUCUUGUGCACCCCCAGCCUGCUCACUGAUGGGAUGGUGUGAGAAGCAGAAAAGGCCUUGACUCCAUGUAAGCAGUGCUCAGCAGUAACUAAAACAUCUCUGUGUUAUCAACAUUAUUUUCAACCCAAAUCCAAAACAUAGCCCCAUACUAGCUACUAUGAAGAAAAUUAACUCUAUCUCAGUCAAAACCAGCACACACUGUAAGCUUUGCAUCUCAAUGAUAUAAUUAAGGAUAAGGGUGAACAAGAUGACAACAGUGGCUCGAAGCUGAGAACAUGAGGUUUCAUCAGACCUCCAGAAGGUAGACUGCUGACCAGAAAGUCUGCUGGUCUCAUCUGGCAGAUGCAGGAAUUGAUGGAGUUCCUUAUCCUCUCAAGACAGCUCCCAAAUAUGAACCUUCUCCUCUACAGAGGAGGUAGCACCCAGACUGGUGUAAAUACUUCGUCCAAGGGGAGGAAAUGAAUUUAAAUUGGAGUCCCUAGAAGAAGAUCAUCUGAAAACAGGCUUCUCUUUUACAAGACUGUGUUAUAUUUGGGUAUUUGCCAGGACAGAACAAUUUGGGAGUCUCAGAGAAACUGUGAAUGAAUUAGUGAAAUAUCAAAAUAUUUGUUUAUUGAAAUUAUGCAAAGAAACUUCCCUCCUACUUUCCUACUUUCUUGUAUCUGAAAAAGAGUAUUUUGGGGAAAAAAGACAGCAAACUUUUUAUUACUGUUAAUUUUUAACAAUUGUCCACAUCUAUCAUAAUUCUUCCAAUGGUUUGACUUUAAAUUCCAGUUAGGAGCAAAAAAAACAGAUAGUGGAAGUCAGAAGUCCUGGUGUAAGUCCAAGGUGAAAGACUCUACUUAACAAAAGUCUAUCCUAGAUUUAGAUUAUAGACAGAGUAGAAGUACAACCAUUCAGAGAGCUCACAGUAGUAUUUUAUUAUUAAGUGAUCAAUGGCAAGGGUUAAAAGGGUACCAUUCAUCUUUGAAAAAGUAGACCAACAUUUCUUAACUAUAAGCAGAAAGAUACAAAUCACAGCAAGUUAUUAUUCUUUUGCUUUUGGAUAAAGUACAAUCUAACUAACCCCUCAAACUGCAAGACUAGGUAAUAAAUAUUUCAAUCCUUAAGCCUUCUCAGCCAGUCAUAGAAGUCACUUCUGUAAUAACUCAGAAUCAAACUUGCUUUAGUCAAAAUGAGGACUCUAAAAGAAGAGAAUUAAAUUUAUUAAGAAUGCAAUUCUGUAUGACAAGUGGAAGGUAAUAAUUUAGGCAAAAAUAGUCCUAAUAUGACAGGCAAACAAUCAUUUAAGUAGCUGCUCUUCACCAAAUUUGCCAGUUGGAGUUGGUGCUUGUCUGAAUAUGACUGAGCUAUGUCACAUAACAGUGUUGUAGAAUAUUUGUAGUAUAGUUUGCAAGAAGCAUGAAAGAAACUUAUUCUUUGUUAGCAAUAAUAAUGCCUCAGCUCUACCUAGAUUUUAGUAGCUCUUGCAGUGUACAUUGGUGUAGACCAACAAGGGGUAGUGUAGAAAAAAGCAAGGAAAUAAAUCUAGAAAGCUUGACAAACAAAGGUUUAGACAUGAAGGAGAGGAAACAUUUAAUAACAAUUUUUGAAUACAUAAAAUUUGAGAAAGAGAAGUAAAAAUGUAUGCCCAGGUCCACAGCGGUUAAGGCAAACUGCAGUAGGGAAAAUCAGUUUAAAUAUCAGGAUAAUUUCUUACCAUAAAGAGCGGUAGUACACUUCAGAGAGUCUGAGAACCUGUGGGAUAUCUGCAGUUGCGAUGCUCCUAAAGAAUAAUUUAAACAAACUGCUAUCAGAACUGACAAAGGUAUAAAUACUUCUGGUUGCAACUGAAGCAUGGAUUGGAAGACUCCAUACAACACACUUUCUAGACUCUGUGAGGCUACUUAUUUAUUUUUCAUUUAUUCUGGCUGAUGCUAGACUAUUGCUUAUUAUCUUCCCAUGCCAGUUUCCAAAGGAAUUAAACACUGAUAAUUUGAAAGAGCAGAUAUAGUUACUCAGAUAUUCUCAUCUCACUGAAUUCUUAGCAGACUUCAGGAGACUGUUUUGAAUGCUUUGGCCAUGUGUAGAGCAAGGAAGGUGAAACAAACGUAAAAAGGAAAACUGCCAGGAAAAAGAAAAAAAAAGAAGGAUUAGUUACAGAAUGAUGGAGGGCUGUAUUAAAUACUUUACUAGCUGGGAAUGUUCAAAAGAAAUUGUAAAGAAUAGUGUAAUAAAUAUAAGAAAUUAAAUUUAAGCCCAAAACAAACAUUUGGUUCACAUAUCUUUGACUUUGAUAGGUUUUGCACAUACAUAUUCUUUGGAGAAAGCGAAAAAGCAGAAAUGUCUUUCAUGUCAAUGUCUGUCUUAAGUUUGCUUGUGUUAAGACAAAUCUUUUGACUUUUUAUGUUGACAAACACUACUGUCUUAUCUGAUGAUGAGCAAGAAGAUCACUGGGCAUAUCAAAAAUGUGCAUCAUGAUGACCUUUGUUGAAUUGGCACUUGGGAGCUUUCCGGGACAUGACUUGCCUCACAGAGGAUGUUGGCAGUACGGUAUUUAGUUUGAGCCAGUAUACACUGUUUCUUUCAAAUAUACUUAAAAAUGCAUAUUUCUUUGUGGAAAAUAGUUGGGCAUCCAACACUGCUGUUUAUAUUCAGUGAUAGAAAAGUCAAGCAGCAAAGGAAAAGCUGACCUUCAGUCUGGUCAAGGUACUGAUGCUUUAUUUUUCAGUCUUUUUAUAGCAUCGUUUUGUAGAAAGUUAUGUUUUUUGACCUUUGUUGUGGUUUCUUAGUCAAAGACUAUUUUAAAUCAGUGUCCCCCAGUAGGCUCAAGAUGGCUGCCAAAGUUCUUGAGUGGAAAAAUGUAAGGAGAGCUUUUGUAGGAGAAUGACUGUGGCUACUUCAACCUUCAGGAAAGUGGAACAAUCAGACACAAAGGAGAAUGCCAAGUAAAAAGAAAAGAGUUAAAGAACAAAGUUUCCAGUAGGAACAAAAAUAUUUCCAGAAAGAAGAACUGGAGCAUGGAAGGGGUUCAUCAUCAUCACCAUGGCUAAACUAAGGCACUGUAGAAGGAUUACAAGGAAUUACUGCUCAAAAGUGAUACAUAUUCUGCAUCUGGUUACCCACGCCUAUUGAGAUGGAUGCCUGGAACAAGAAGUAAGUUUUCUUGACACAGCAGCAAAGAGUAACAGGAAAUUUACUGGAAAAAAACAUUACUACUCCCCAAUCACUCAAAAUCCAGUUCUUCUGGGCUGGGAGUUACAAAGCAUCUAUAGUCAGACACAAAGAAGCAUAGACCAGCUGUUCUAGAGUCUGGGCUGGUGGGUCCAAGACAGCUUUGGUUCAGAACCUGUUCAGACAUGUUGACAUGUGGUUGUACUGAUACAUGCUUCCUCUCAGGAAGGAGAGCUGGGUCAACAAAGCUAAUCCUGUGCUAUUGUGUAUGAAUGGUUUCCAGUGCACAGGCAGCUCUGUUCCCCACUAAGAGCCAGACAGACCUCAUCGUGACUAUGUGCACCUGUCAACAUAGGCAAGAUGCUUCCCACUGAGUCUGCCAAUCAGAACAUAAUUAAUGAUGGCUUACUGUCCAGCUAUUCAUACAGGAAUUACAAGUAGAGAAGCAAUAUGAAAGAGGAGAAGGAUAUGGGUAUUAUAAGAAAAGCAGCAUAGAAUAAUUUCUGUGACUGGAUUAAGUAAUCUUCUUCCACUGGUAAUCAAACUGUGUAACACUUUUCAUAGCGCUCUUUCAUUUCAGCAGCACUUGGCUACUGAAGUUAUCCCAGUGGGGGCCAGUGAAACCAAGCAGAGACUGAUGAAUUGAGGAAAGCUUAGACUCCUUCUGGCAGAAGCCAUUUCAACAUCCCUUUUGUUUCUUGCCAAACAGGUCCUGAUCACUCUCCUAAUGAGGCAGCAUGGUACCUUGGCAGAUAUGAAUGCCCACAAUUCCUAUGCCAGCCUAAGUCAUUCCUACAUAAUUCCUAUGUCAUACCUACUUCAAAGGGGUUGACUGCAGAUCGUCACUUCAAAAGGCAUGAUGAAAGUUUGCUGUUUCCCUCCUUUGAUUCAUCCAUCAUUCUCAAAGGAACAUGUGCCCUGUCUUUGUCAGACCACACAGAAAUCACUUUAUUGAUAGACCAGAAUAGCACACAGGGAUAUAAUAUCAUUUGCUUUAUCAAGGUCAUCAUCAAAAAUUAUUUGCACUUUAAACACUUCUGAAAGAAAAGAGUAAGACAUAAACUCACGCCUGUACUUAAAAAUCAGGCAUUCUUCUAUAGCUGCUUCAACAUGUUGCUUAUCUCAGAAGAAUCAGUGUCCCACCCUUUGAUCCACUUCUAUCGGAAUUUUUCUUGAGCUCUCUCCUUUGUGUUAUGCUUAAGCAGGUCAUCUCAUUUAUCUUCUUGGACUGUGUGGUGCAAGUGUGAGUUCUGCAGUACUGCCUCCUCUUCUUGUCCAGGCUGGAAGGACCUUCACCUCUCAAGUAGCCUGUAUGAGGCACUGGCACAGCAUAUGCAAUCGAAGAUAAAUGGUUAUUCCAUUCCCUGUUUAUGCUUUAUUCUUAAUUUGAAUUUAUGUUGCGCACCUUCACUAUCCUCUCUCUUUUAGAUUCAGGAGGACUGCAACAAAAUCUUAUGAAUCAACAGAGGAAAAAGUAUUCAAAGUGCCCAUCUGUGUGUGAGUUGGUAUUAGGACAGAUAUCACAUAUUUGUCUAUUUUUCAUGGGGUUUCUUCAUUUUUUAUUAUCUGUAUGCCACAAAUAUGAAACUUUUUAACCUACUCUAGGUUUAAAAUCAGCUUCUGGUUACCUUGAGAAUGAGGUUAGAAGAUGCUGUAGGCUCGUCUUUGUCUCAGCUUUUGUGCAAAGAAGCCCUGCCAUUUCCAAGGUUCAGGUUCUCAGUCUCCGUGUCUGUGUGAGAAAAUCUCAAAACUUUUACUGGGAUUUAAUUUCUUUGGCUGCUUAUUGGAGAAGCCAAGCACAGCCCGGAAACUGCCACAGAAGAGCUAUUAAUAUGUUUGCAGGGUGAGUUACAGUGAUAGGGACCAGAACAAAUAAUACGAGGUUCAGUUCUGGAGAGUUUGGAGAGGACUUAAUGUUUCUUGGAAGAAAUGGAAAACAAAGUUGUGGUUAAAGAGCAUUAUACAAAAUUCUCAGGAAAAGAGAGUUUCAUAGGAAAGUUUCAUCUGCCAGUUAUGGUUUACUGAUGUUAUUUUAAGGUAUCAUGGAAAAUAAAUCUAAGGAUGGCAACACAGUGCCUGCUUUGUGUUUAGAAUGCUUUGCGACUAGGCCUGUUUACAGUCACUUUCAGCAGCAGAUCAAGUAUUGAAGUAUUUUCAUUGCAGUCAACAAUGGUUUUCUGGGUCUAUCUAUUAGUGCUCCUAUGCAAGUGUAAUUUAUAACAUUUCAGUAUAUAAUUUAAGAAAAUCAUGUUUAAGCACUUGUGUGUCAACUGCUGUUAUUCUAGAAAGUGGACACCCAGCGCAACACAAUUUUUUAUGAUGCAGUGAUGUUUCCAUUAGACUUCCCUCUAUUUGAAACGUUGCUGCUUGGCCAUCCAAAAAGUUUUGUAGUCUGUAGUUUGCAACACCUUUGUGAAAAAUGCUGGAGUAAACUCUGAACAUAAAUGUUUUGUUAAAAAAAUAAUUUUAAGAAGAAAAAACCAAAUUUCCCCUCUUUUAAAUAUUUGUUUAAAAAGCCAAAGUAAAAUUUAAGAAGAAAAAAUAUAAAUAAGUUGAAUCUACAAGCUAUUUUUUUCUCUCCAAAAGCUACCAGACGUAUGACAAUGUUAUUAACAUUUGAAAUUUAUCUUCUUGAAUAGUCAAAGUAUUUGAAGGGGACAGCAUACAGGGCAUUCUAAAUAUACAUAUACUUUUAUUAUUCUUUAUGGUUUAAUUAAUAGAAAAGAACAAUUCCUUCCAUGUGUAUGGAUGGAAUCUUAUUAAAGUAUAAUAAAUAACUACGUUAUAGGAAGGAAGGGUGUAAAGGAGAAGGAACCAGGGUCGUUUCAGUGGUGCCCGGUGACAGGAUCAGAGGCGAUGGACACAAUCAGAAACACAGGAAGCACCCCCUGAACAUCAGGAAACACUUUUUUACUGUGAGUGUGAUUUGGCGCUUUCACAGGUUGCCCAGAGAGGUUGAGGAAUGUCCUUCCCUAGUGAUAUUCAAAAGCCAUCUGGACAUGAGUCUGGGCAACUGUCUGUAGGUGGCUCUGACUGACCAGGGGAUUUGAACCGGCUGACCUCCAGAGGUCCCUUCGAACCUCAACCGCUACGAUUCUGUGACAAUCAUUCAGUAAUGAGCAGUCUAGGAAGCUAUAUUUGCAUCCCAUUGUUACGUAUCACAGAUAUUACAUGGAUACCAUGAAUUUUUUGAGUUUUAAAUGAGUCAAACAUAAUGUAUUUGCAAUAGAGAGUUAAAAUUUUUUCUAAAAAGCAGUGCUGAACUCCUGAUUCUUAUCACUGCCAUAGGUCCCCAUAAGGUUUUCAUAAUACUUUUCAAAUGGGUUCAUUAUUGUUACAGUAUUUACUGGUAUACUUGUUAGCAUAAAUUUCGUACAGGAUUUAUAUUACUUUGUCCCACACAACUGACAUUCCCUUUUGCUCCUCACUACUCUGACAGUUACUUAAGCCUGAAAGACUGAAGAACAAAUACAGUUUACAAAUACACAAAAUUAAUACAUUACUGUACGAUAAAAGGUAGAUCCACCUAAAUCUGUGAUAGGAAUUUUGUUACACCUUUAAGCCAUGAAUUUCAGUGUUCUUAGAAAUAUAUAAAUGGUAGAUCACAGUAUCACACAGUAUCACAGUAUGUUUGGGAUUGGAAGGGACCUCAAAAAUCAUCUAGUCCAAUCCCCCUGCUGGAGCAGGAAUGCCUAGGUGAGGUCGCACAGGAACAUGUCCAGGCGGGUUUUGAAUGUCUCCAGAGAAGGAGACUCCACAACUUCCCUGGGCAGCCUGUUCCAGUGCUCUGGCACCCUCACUGAGAAGUUUUGUUGAAGUGGAUAAAUUAGGAAUACAAACAAGACAAACUAAGAAGAAAAGAAACAAACCCCUCAGGUUGUAUGCACAUUAGGUAACAGAAAUUCAGAAUUAUAUAUCUUUAUUGUUUUGCUAAGUGGAAGAAAACUCUGUUGUGGUAUUUACAUAGCAUCAGGAAGAGUUAACAUCAUGUACUCAGUUUAAUCUCUGGACAUUUUUGACUCUUGUGUUUUUAACUUAGUAACCCUGUUUGUCUAUUAUUUGGAGAAGAGAGAGAAAGAUGAGAAGUUUCUGCUAAAAUUGAGCCUCAAACUUUGCAUUUCAGUUGCAAAAUCACUCCAAAUUAUGAAAUGCUAAAAACAUUUGCUCAGUUUAUGCUUACAUGUUAGGUCAAUUCAAUCAUCAUUUAAUAUUCUUCAUACAGAAUCCCUGUCUCAUUUAGCACAUAAGGAAGGCUUGCAUUGAUAGAGAAGGAAAAUUGAAUAAUAACAGAGAUGGUUGGUUAAAAACCUGAUUUUUCAACUUUACAUUAUUAUUUUAUUAUUUUUAUGCAGUUUCCUUAGGUUGUCAAAAUUAAAAUGAAAGCUAUAAAUUUCAUUGUGUAAUGUCCACAUGAACUGUCAGAAAAGCUGCAAACUUUAGAUCAGAAAUUUUAAAAUAUUUUCACCUUAUGGGUCCUUAACAUUUUUUCUUAAUUUAUGUGUGGAUUCAGGUAUGAUGUGUUUUGCCUCCUGAUAACAGGUGUUUUGCUUUUCACUGUCACCUGUAAAUUAGCCCCUAAUUUUGAUGCUUGAGAUAAUGAAGUGAUGGACAGCAAUAAUUAGUUUCUGUCCUAAGUGUGGGCCAGUAGUACAGAAACAUGAUAUAAAAUGUCAGUGGCUUUGACAGGUCACUGCAGGACCUCUUAUUCCGUGCUGAAAAGGGGGCUUGCUACUAAAGGAUUUAUUUUCUCCUUAGAAACACUAUUUUCCUCAGAAAUCUGACUACUUUAUGAGAUUUUCAUCUGGACUUUAUUAUUCAUAGACUCCUACUUUUUAACCCAAACAUCCUUUGAUUUGUCCUGCUAAUUUUCAGUCACAAGAAAUGCAGCUCUGCCUACCAGUCUCUUUUACCCUCCAUUUCACAUGUAUUUUGUUUUGACUCUAGAUUUCCUUCUUUGGUUUCAAGACCUAGUUUUUUGACCAGCCAGGUUGAGUUCCCAUCUUUUACUAGUCUCUGCUAUGCACCUGCAUCCACCUCUCUUACUUGUGCCACUUGCAUUUCAGUGGUGUCCUAUGUCCAGCUUGUGUCCUGUGUGCCUUUGCAUAAGGCAUCUUCUCCUUUGACACUUGCUGGGUGUCAACAAGUGUAUAAUUCACAAGACAUGAGCUUCUUUUUCUUUCUUCUGAUGUCUGGAUCUGUCUCAGCCUGGAAAUGACCGUAUUAAGAAAAGCCCAUGAUCUGCCAAGGAUAUGCUAGAUGACAGCACAGGCCCAUUCUGGGGUUAGUGAAUGAGGCAUUCAAAUGAGAGGAGAAGCAGCACAGCCGAUUAUUUUGUGUGAAUGAUGUAUAGCCAGAGAGCUUCAGAAAAGGUCUGGGGGGAGAUUGAGUAAGCUCAGUAACAACAGAAACUUACAUGAUUUUUGUGGUUGAGCUUUUGCAAACUUCCAGUGAGUUCAUACAAAUUGGACAUUUCCAAGAUUUACAUUAGGGGUUGUUUCUCAGAAUGAUAGCAAAGAGCACAUCAGUGACACACAGACCACCCUUUUGCCAGAUGUCAAGUUCCUGCACCAAUAUAUGAGGAGGGCACAAGAGCUGCCAAAGUAAAGGUUACAAGCUUGUUUUUUUAACAGCAAAAAAUAGCAUGUUUUUCUCUUGCUUCACAGCAGAAACUUUUUGGCUGAAAUUGUCCGAAAGAUUUAUUCAGAAGGCAAAUACCAUGCAUGGAAAAAUUCAACCUAAACAGUUAGUUUGGCAAAAUUAUAAGAAACCAGAUCUUAUAACAGGAAACAUUUGCAGCCUUAAUACCAGGCAGUGCUAACAAUUGAGUGUAUAAUUUACUCAGCACCACCCUAUUUCCCUGACAAAGAUAUUCAGCUGCUUGUAAGGCCAAGUUCCGAGCUUGGAAGGCAUGAGCAUUAGCUCCCAGUUGAUGCUGGCUAGUGUUGACUACGAAGAUUCACUUUUAACCGCAGCCUUUGCCUAGCUUUCACAGCAUAGCUGAUUACAUUCCACAGCUAUGCCAUAUUUUGGAAAGUCCUUUACCAAGUUUGAUGUUCAUGGUGGUUUCAACAAAGAUGAAAAUAAGAGAAAGAUGGCUUGGGACAUUUCCAUCAAAACUGUUACGACUGAAGGCAAUUUUUUAACCCUUUCUACUCUUCCAUGAGGAUGCUUUCUGUCUCUGUGGGGUUGUUAUACUGGAGGGGAAAAUGAGGUCAUCUGCAUCAUUAAAAAUAUGAUACAUAAUCAUUGUGUAUCAUUGAAGACUCCACAGCAGUGAUGCCAAGAUUGAACAAUGUAGGUUACUGAUCUGCAGACCUCUUCAUCUUUUUCAUUAAAUGAACAUUGACCAUAGAUGCUAAGGGGCUUUGCUUUUGGUUUUUAUUUUUGACCAUAAAGUUGCACUGUCACUGUAAGUACAUACAUUGCUAUUUCAUCUGUAAUGGGUCUAGAAAAGUCAUCUUUCUUAUAGGAUUUUUUCAGCCAUGUUACUGUGCACAUGUAUUUUCUACUGGUCCAGAUGCAGAAAUAUGUCAGAGAGGUGUAUUUCUCCAGGCAGCCUUUUCUUUCUCUGAGCUGGUAUUUUAAGCAUAGCAAGACACGACACUGACAGUCUCAAAAUUUUCAAGCUCAGCCAUGGACUUGAAGUGCAAGCACUGCUUUCUGACUACUUCCCUUGAAAAAUUAACCUUCCAAAACAAAGGGAAGAAGGCACAUACCUAUGACUCAUCAUUGCCACCAAGGCCCACUGAAAGGGAUUGUAGCGGGGAGAAGGCGGCAGACAUCUUUUGAACUGAAAGUGGUGAUAUAGAGCGUUUCACUGACACAACAUCCCUUCCAGAGCUCCUAGAGAUGAUACCACCUCAUGUCUAGCACUGCUGUACCAUGUCAUAGCCAGCUGCUCAAAACCAAGAGGUGAGGGUGAAAGCAUAUAGCAAAAACUACAAGCUAAAAUGCAUAAGAGGAAAGGCAGAAACAAAGCAUACCAUUAAGAAGUCAGAGCAUUAAGAAUGGAGAUUAUAUUGAAAAGAAAUGUAGCUGUGCUAAAUAUUUCAAAAUCACAGAAAUGUGUUGAUGGAUAGUCAGAUAACCUCAUAUCUUGCAUAUAGAGAUAUUAUGAAAUAGUUAUGUGAUUGUGAUUAAGACAAAACAGUAUUGUUGCAGGCAGCAAGGGGUCAGUGUUGUGGCUGCAUGAUCUCUAAUUAAUAAGUUCACAUUUAAUCCACUUAUAGGAAGCAUGGCCUAGUGAAUUACAUGGCAGCUGAAAUGUUCCUGAAUGGAAAAUAAGAAUACUGUUUUAAGAAAAAUUGUAAUGUUUGAACAUUUGGUUUCAUUUUACAAAAGAAUAAAAAUGACAUCCUUUGAAAUAUUUAAUUUAAAAUACAAGAGACGGGCUUGCUCAUUCUCCAAAACAGCCCACACCCCAGUGGUUAGGAUGCUGGAGUAAAAGCUGUUUGGAAGAUUUUCAAUAAAGUGUAUUUUAUAGGAAAACAGCAGUUCACUAAAAUGGGAAAUGAAUUUGUUUAUCACAAUGUUGUUAAAAGAAUUUUCAGACCAAGGGCAACAUUUUUCAUCCAAGAUGUAAGGGUGUCAUUACAAAGAGAUUUCAACUUAGUUCUUCUGAAUUCCUAGUGAAUUCCCACAGAAAAAUGACCAGUAAGUUUAGACUUGAUUUCCUAUUCUUCAACAGACUUCCCAUGUUAUCUUGAACAAGUUGCUUUGGUCCAGAUUAUUUAAAGUAGUUGAAUGUGUAAGCCCACUAUGUAUGCACAUUUUUUCCAGUUUGCAUGGUCUAAUCUUACAAUGAGGCCAGAGCACAUGUCAGAACAAGAUAUGAAAACACCAACUAUAGACGAUCAAUGGAUAAGAUAUCAGCUUGACAUUUGCACAUGUAGUGGUGGUGGGAACAAAUACACUGUGAUUGAGUACUGGUGGCAAACGAUGAUGAGAAGAUGUGAGCAACCAAGAUUCAAGUUCACACUCUGCUCCCAACUUCGGAUAAUUGAACCAAGCACCUUGACAUAGCUGACUACUCUGCCUUCUGAUCUGUUUUAUUGAAAAUUGAAACUAAAUUUUAAAGCUAUUUUAUCCAAGAGACUAUAUGACUGGGAACAUUUCCAGAUCCUCACUGUUUUGAUUGUCAAACAGACUUUUUUAUCCAUUAAUCAAAAAGAAUUAAUUUACUAUUUUAUACUUUUUUUUUUUUUUUUUUUCCAAUGCUGUCCUUUGGCUUAAAUAACUUCUUUUUUCACUGGAAUUUAUGUACCUGAUGUAUCUAGACUGAGCAAUGAUACCCAUUCUAAACUUUGUUUUUCCUAGGUUAAACAACAAAUCUCUCUUACUAUCCCUUUGUAAAUAAAGUUUCUCUCUGCUGCCAAUUCCAGUAGCUCUCCUCCACAUAUCUUCCAAUGUGACUUUUUUUCCACCACAUAAACGCUUUAAUAUUUCUCUAUCUUUUUCUGAAAAUACUUUGCUGGAUGGACCUUGGGAUCCCUCAGCUUUUCCUGAUAUGGAAAAUCACUGAUGAUUCUGAACCAGAGUGCCACUUAUUCAUAAGCCCUGGUUCUCUCUUCUUUUUAUCCUUAUUGAUGGAUGAGCCACUGGAAAGGUGAGAAAACCCUUCUGCUUCAGGUCUAUAAGUGUAUAUCCCGAUUCUCUACUGUCAAAUUUAAUCCCAUUUCUAUUACUCUAAUUUUCAAGUAAUUCGAUUUUUUAUAUUUUUGAUAUACGUAUCUGUCAGUAUUUGACUAUGCUUAUAUCACCAACAAGUUUUGUUAGACCAUUUUUACUACUUGUGCCAAGUUCAAUACUGAAAAUGUGAAAUAAUGUUGUCCUGAAGACUGAUCCUUGAGGACAUCCAGCCAUAAAUUCUUUUCAGCUCAAUCUGCCCUUUUUAACACACACUACUUGUGUUUCCCCUCACCAACACAGAGUUUUCUGUACCAGUCUUAGUUACUCUUACUCUAUAGCAGUCUUACUUACUGUUAUGUUCAGCUGUAGACUCAGCUUCUACUACUGCUACAAGAUAUAAGCUUCUACUCCAAGUGAACGUAUCAGAGAUUGGAAUGUGAUCUCUCACAUUGAGUGACAGCCUUGGAAGAUUACCGACUUCUUGUUUCCUGUCUUCUUGUGGCUGCAGAAACAUCUGUCUAAGCUGAGGAGAUGUAAUCAGUGAGAGUGUUCAGAACUGUGAAGUACAGGAAAACUCCUGGUUACAAAGUAAGUGGGGACUCUGAUACUGAAUAUUCCAUUGGUCAAAAAGCUGCACGUUAUACACAACAACUGUGAGUGAAGUGCUUAUACGUCUCUAAGAAUAUGUGCCUUAGUCACCCUCUGUGGCAGUUGCCAUUCUGCAAAAGUAAAGUUACUUCCAGUGUAUGCUGCUCGUAGGUUCAAGUCAGGUAUAAACAACUUUGAAUUUAUAAUCACAUGCUGUAUACUCUUCAAGUUGUAGCAUAUGUAGAAUCAGAAAUAUGGUAAAAAUUAUGUGCAAUGCUGCAAAAUAUUUUUUUAAUGUUUGAGCACACUCACUCUUCUGUCCUCAAAUUUCAUAAAAUAAAUGUUAAUGAAGUAGUAGAAUAUCUACUAUUGGCAGCUGGAAAAGCUACUGAUAUCUGGUUUUCUCUCCUUAAUUUUCCUCUGUUUUAGCAUAAGCAUUUUUCUAGCAUGAAUGGAUACAGAUUUUCCAUUAAAAACUGUUAGCAGUGGAUGAGUAAAUGUCUGCCAAUGUUACAGCCAGUUCAUGAAGAAUCCAACUUCACGGUCUUGCCAACACAGCAAUUAGGACCACAUGUGCUAGAGAGGCAAGGGAAGCCUAUGCAUAGUGAUGACAGUCCCAUAAGGCCUGAUGGUUGCCUUUCCAGUCCCAAAUUUCAGAGGCUUUUUAAAACAUAUCUGCCUAUUAUAAAGUCUCUGGUUUGUGUAUUUAAAAUCCACAAUACUUCUAUCUAUAGUAUCUUCAUCUCUUCUUUGGCUGUUUAUAUUUAUGUCAUAUUAUGUCAGGAAAAGAGUCAGUUUUCAAAUUAUUAAAAGCAAGAGCAAUUAAAACAUACUAAUGUUGAUGUAUACAAGUUGUGUCCAUAUAGAUAGCUAUAUGUGUAUAUGUGUGUUUAUGUAUAAAAAUAUGCAAGAAUAUUAAGCCUAGAAGUGUUUGUACCAUUAAUAACUCCUGGGAAUGGCACCAGCUUUUCAAAGCUUCUACACCUCAGCAGAUUUGUUUCAGUCAUGAUCAAGUGGGAAAUGUGUCACUUGUUUAGCAGCCUGUGUGAAAUUCAAUUGGAGUUUUGCUCCAAUCUCUUCUUAACAAAUGUACAAAUCAUACUCAAAUAUCUGCAUGUUAGUGAUGUGUCUUGGGGAAGGGAUUGUAAUCCUGGAUAGGUAUGGAAACCAACCUGUACUACUGCUAUGAAGUUUAAUAAUCAUUUAAGCAAUACAUAGGUUAUGACUGUGAUUUAAGCAAAAAUCCAAGUGUAAAUGGUAAUAAAAUGAUAGUGGCAAUCAAAGGAAAAAAGGAUCAACUUUCCAAAGUAGAAUUAGAGGUUACUGACAUACAGACAGAGAGCUCUCUGACCUUAAUAUUCAAAUAGCAUAUUUUUCAAAGAACAGUUCAGUCCUGCUCAGUGACAGCAGACCCAGAAGAAAACAUGGUUACUGAGGGAUGGCAGAGUGCCUGGGGUGCCAGAGAACAAGCUGUGUGCACGCUUGAUCUAGAACGGAGGCAGAAACCCAGGCUAUCAGUGAUGAGACCAGGACAAUGACCAGCUACAUGAUUCACAGCUUGAAAGGCAAUUCCAGACCCUUCUGCAAUCCCUGGAAGGGCUGUGUGUUAGUGGGCAAGAGAUUUGCAAGGUCAGCAUGACAGAUCCAUCACAUUAUCCACCAGACUGUUAUAGACAGACUGUUACACCAGGCAUGUCACAGCCCCUGUUAGUAGUUAAUUGGAUAAACUCAAAGCACAGACUCGUAUCUGGCACCUGGCUGGCCCUACAGCAUGAUGGCCCAUAUGCCGACUGGUCUGUGCUACUGUCCUUUUCCCAGACACUGCUGGGCACAGUUAGAGGUGUAGCCCCUGUCAGGCUCCAUUCCCAGUGUGGGCUUUGGAUAGCAACUGCCUGGUUUGGGAGAGGAAGAGAGGUCCAAUGUGGGGACAGGAGACAGUUUGGGCUAUUGGUGUUAUGACCAGAGAAUGGCCCUCACUCUGUUUUUCACUAGCUUUACUGGCCUCAUUGUACCAGACUACACACCUCACGAGUCAGUGAGGACCCAGCUGUAGACUAAAUUUAGCAGGAAUUCAGUGCUACAGAGUGAAGGCCUCAGAAAACAGGCAAACUCCGGGGUCAAGGAUGCUUGCCUCAGGGUACAUUCUUUAGAUAAGUACUGGAGCCACUACAGUUACUGAGACAUGCUGCUGCAAAGAGGUCAAUAUUUUCAAUGAUUUUCAUUGGUCAGUUCAUUAAGCACUGUGAUUUGAAAGUGAACUUUUCUGUGAAGAUUCUUACCUUUUCCACAGAUUCAAAUAACCAAAAUAAUUACUUAUCUUUUCAUUGAUAACAUUUGCCAGCAUGCUGAACUUCAGAAGCAUAAUAUUUUGGUUAGGAUGGGUACUGCCAGGAAAAGCCCUGACAUCUAGCGACUAAAAGUUGGUAGGAACUGUAAAUCUCCAAAGACUUGAAACCAGAUUCAUAUUUUUUUUAAGUCAUGGCGCAGUGCCAACAGGAUGCCGUUCUGUUACAGCAUUGCAGUGAAGUGGUUAGGGUCAGAAUUGCAUUUAGGCACAGUCAUUGUUGGAUAACUGCCCGUCCAGCCUCAUUCAUUCACAUACAGUACAUAUGCUUAUAAUGUAUUUCAAGGCCCCUGUAACACGGACUUGAAACCAAGAGAGAGAACAAUAAAGAUUUAACUCACCAGCAUAGCUGGUUCUUUUCCCAGUUUCUGAACUCUGUCCAGAAGACACAGCCAGAUGUGGCUUGAAGAAAGAGCCCAUAGUCCAGAGAAUGAAAGAAGAAGGCUGAGAGAAAAGGAGUUUUCAGGACAUCAGUUAAGGAAAAAAAAAAGUCUUGCUUACAUAUGGGACUAAGGAGUCUACAGAUGUGCACAGGAUGAAACCUUAUCCUCAGCUUCAGGCAUACAUUUCUGAGGAAAUCACUAACUUCCAGAAUGGGCCUGGGAUUGGUCUGUUAGAUAUGGGAGCCCUGAACUUUUACUUCCUCUUCACGUAAUGUUCUCCUGAUAUUUUAAGAAAAUGGAUUUACAACAUUCUUGUACACGGAUCCCAGCGAUCAGGACAUAUGUGGCUGCAAAAUUAAGAUACUUGUAAGAUGCAAUUAAAAAAAAAUCCCCUUCAGGGCACAGCUAUGCCAGGAAGCACAAUGCAGAGAUAUGACAUAGGACAAGAGGCAGAUAGAGCUGUGGCUGUUCAGCCUGGAGAAGAGAAGACUUGGGGUGGGCCUUAUGACUGUGAUGGUGGGGAGCAGUAAAGAAGGUGAAGCCAGGGUCUUCUCUGGGAUUUCCAGUGACAGGAGAAGAGGCUUUGGGAACUAUUUGAAGUACAGGAAAUUCUGCUUAGGUGUAGAAAAAUGUGGGUUUUUUGAAUGUGAAGGUGUCUGAGCACUGGAACAGGUUGCCUAGAGAGGUUGUGGAGUCUCAGACCUUGAAGAUGUUCAAAAUCCAGUUGGAUACAACCCUGUGCAAGAUGCUGUAGCUGACCCUGGAUUGAACUAGGUCAUCCAGUCUUCACCUGUGGCUUCAUGGACUGUAAACUAGCAGUGAUUCAGCGUGUCAAAGCAGCCAGGCUGUGCUGGUGGAGUGCUGUGCUCCGCCUGCUCAGCCAGAGUAGGUUUUAUUCAGUGCCAUCUAACACAGUUUUAUGACUUCAGACACCCAAGCUGGUGUCUCUGCAUGCCGUUAUUUAGAUCCAUAUCACCUCUUCCUGCUAAAAGCUUUCUUGCUUCAUGCCAGUGUCCUACAUAUGGUCUUGCAUUCCUGGAAAAUGCCUUCAGUUUGAGUAUUUUUCCUCUAGUUUUAACUGUUCUCAAGUUUUUCAUGGCAUCCUGAAGGUCUGGAGAUCUUACAUGAGAGACUGAGAAACUGGACACUUGGGAGCAUUAUGCCCAAAUGUGGUAUUAUUGUCUGAUCAUGAUACAAUUCAUAAAAUAAUUUUUGUUGACAAGUCUACAAAGCACACAUUUGACAUGUUUUCUCCAUUACAGAAACUUCACUAUAUUUGCUGCUGAAAUGUCAGCCAAAUAAUAUGAAGUGAUAUCUUCCGAUUAGAGCUAGAUUUUUGAAAUAACCAUUCUUUCUGUUAAUCAGUUUUAUGUGUAGUUCAGCAAAUACCGACAGAAAUACUUUACUUAACAUGGGAAAACUGAGAAAAUAGAAACAGUUUUAAUGCAGAAAACUCCUUUUUUUUUUUUUUUUUUUUUUUUUUUUUUUUUUUUUAUGACAGCUCUGUGACAUACCUUGGACUGAGUUACAGCAUGCCAACAAUAUGGGGUGAAACCCUACCACUGUUGAAAUCACAGAAAAAUAGGCCAUGGUUUCAUGCAUGAACUGUAAUUGGCAAGGCUUAAAUGUCAUAAAUAUUCAUUUUGUUUGGAAUUAAUGAUGGAAUAAGAAUAUGUGAAAUGCCAUUCUUGAGACAUAUUAUGUGAAUUUUGAAAACUAUUUUAAGAUAUACACUCAUUUUACCUAUUUCAUAAAAUUUUUGGCCUUUAUUCUUGUCUCACAGUAAACUUGAACAGGAUGGGGCUUGCUAGGUCAUUGAGUUUAGUCUUCUCUUACAAUGAAUAGCCACUUUAUAAUAAUUCAUUUACCCAGGGAACUCCUAAAUGCUUCUUGUUUUCAUCACUCUACAGGAUGUUCAGUUCAGUUCAGUUACCCAGCUUCUGCUGAGGUAUUUUCAGAACAUUGUGUCACUUCUGCAUCAGUACACUGGGAGAACUGAAAAAGCAAACUGGCUAGAAUAAUAUAACCUAGCACUAAAUUAAUAAGGAAGAGCUACCCUUGAUAAAUCAGCACAGUUAUCCAGUGAGGCUGGAUGCAGCUGUGUAUAAACAGGAAAACUGCAUCUGUUCUUCUGUCCAAUGAUGUAGUCUGUGAGCACACUGGCUGACAUUAAUGGAUGAGAGAUUCUCUUAGUGCUUAGCAUAAGUCUGUGGCUGGACCUCAGUACCCCGUUUAAGUCCCUUAUUGCCUUUGGACCAUCAUUGUGAUAUUAACAAUUUGUGUGUGUGUAACUCUUCAACAAAGUUUCUUUCUGCUAAAGGAACAGCAUCAAAGUAUUUCUUAAGCGUGCAAUGUUGUAGCUUACAAGUUGAUACCCACCAAGUACCUGCAAAGUAAGCUUUAAAAUCUCAUGGUAUGUACUGUAUGUUAUUAAAACAUGUUCACCUGCUAAGUUGUGUGCAUCUAUCUUUUGAUGAUAUAUGAAUAAUGUGUUCUGGUCAUAAUUUGAAAUGAAGAGUCUACUAUAAACACUGCUAUUAGCCCUAGCUGGAAGAUUUUGUUGAGAAAAAAUAUAGGAGGCUGUAAAUAUAUUUUUAUAACUUUACUAAAGACAUCUCAAGCAAUGACACCAUAAGAAAAAAAUUAAAAGUACGUAUUUUCACAGGGUCGAUACAUUCAGUUGUGUGGUAGAUUUUAUUUUUUAUGAACCCAUGGAACAAGCUGUGCCUGGAAUAGACUAACGUGGCAUCACUGAAGACUUGAGGUAUCUUUCUUUGCGUGCAAUGUAUCUUUUAUGAGUAAGUACUGUGAAAAUCAUCUUUACAGCUCUCAUCAAUCUUAAAGCACUCUGGAAGACAUUUUAAUCCCUAUGUACAGAUGGUGCAAAUAUAUCACAGCGAACUGAAAGGACCUCCUGAAAACUACCCAGCAGGUCAGCAGCAAAAUUGGCAUCUGUGGAUUCCUUCUUGAAAAUAUCCCACUUAACCAGACAUGCUAUUUCCUAAAAUUCUGUCCAUUUUAAAUCAUUGCCAAGCAUGUCCUUUGCUUAAAUUCUUUUUCUGAUACUCAUGGGCCAGGUACAAGACCAUCCUUUCAGGCUUAGGUGGACAGGAGUGAUGCAAAUGGACACAUUCUUAAGCAUUUCACUGAUUUUGUGGCUGUCUGGAUUUCUGUAUCUAGGAGACAGAGAAAAGCAACUACAGCAAUUGUGUGUGCAUUAUUCUAUGAAGUGGUUAAUGAAUUAAGGCCAAUUAGUUAUUACUGGCUGGAGUUUAUCUUCUCAUUCCCUGGAUGACUGUAGAAUGACUUCAGACUAUGGAAAUUGCAUUUUUACUAUUUUUUGGCUUGUGCUAUGUGUGUGCAUCUAGCCAGCUAUCUAUCUGUAUCUCGGCUUCAAAGACUAGGGAGAGAAAACCACCACCACAAACUUCAGUGAUGUGAUUUUGAUAGCCUCAGCCUAACAAACUGCUAUCAAAGUGACAUCCCGAUGGUAGGCAGUGGUGGAAAGGAAACUUCUGGCUAUACUACUUGCAAAUAUACAUCGCUACUGCAGUCCAAAGGGAUUCAGGACAGCUUAAACAUGGGCAUGAUGUGUUUUCUAGGUUGUAAUGCAGUUUGUCAAGAGUUUGGAUAUUUAAAAGAAAAAAAAAUAUGUAAGUGUCUGCAAAAAUUUUACAGAUUUCUAUUCUCUUGGUUAUGUCUUCAUGGUGGAAGCAACCUGCACUCUUACUUUAAUGCUACUUGUCAACCUUGCUUUUGCAGAAAAAAAAAUAAUCGUUCAAUCAAAUAUCCCUCUGAUUAGACUAAAAGGCCAAGCUGAGUGCUGCUGUUUUGGAAAGACUGGUCAUACUGCCUCACUUUACUGUAUUAAGUUAGUCAAAUACUACAUCUCCAGCAUUUUCCUGGAAUUUCCAAAACAGAGUAACUCCUCCUACUGUUCACUGGCAAAGCAGUAGAGGUGAUUCAGCAUAUCAAUACAGAAAACGUCCCCAGAAGUCCUACCAGUGCACCUGCAUGGCAACAGUGCUGGUGAGGAUAGGUAUCGUUGUCUAGUGCAUUAAAGAAGGUGCCAGUCACUGACAAGCUCACCAGUCAAGCCGUAAAUUCAGUGUCACAUAAUGACAAAUAGUGCUAGUUAAUCAAGAGAAAGAACUGUAAAAGCUAAAAGUUGUUCUGAUUCUCUUUAUGUCUUGAAAAAAGAAAAAGAAAAAAGAAGAAGAAAAAAAAUGUUAUGUACUGUCAGGCAUGUGUGUGUGAAAAACGUGAUAACCACUUUAUUCUGCUUAAAUGUUAUUGGCCAGAUUCUCACUUGAUGCAAUUUAAUGAGACUGUGGUCAUACAUUUUAAAGGAGCUUCCAUAGAUGAGGACCCGGUUUUAAUACUGAACACAGUAGAAUCUUCAAGAAAACAAACAAUAUACACAUAGCUUUUGCAACCUAUGGACAAGAUUUUGAAUAAAAGAGGUAUAGAUUUAGAUUCUGAUUUUGAUACCAAGGUUAAGUAGCCUAACUCUUGCAUAUCCUGACCAAACAGUAAGUCUUCCUCGUGUUAGUGCCACAUAUAGUCUUAGUCCAUUCCAUCUCAAGGAGAUUUUUUUAUCAAUUGCUUUCACUCUUUCUUCAAUAAAUACGUCUGCUGUGUCCUCUGCACUUGCUGACUACUCUCUUUUUAAAUAUGCAUCAAAUUUAUUGUGAGACUCUUUCAGCCCUUCCUGAGGGAUAGCUGUAUUUGUGCGGAAGUUGUGGUAUGCCUUUGCCACAUACCAGGUAUCAUAAUGCUCCUAAGGGGCAGGGAGGAGUUUGUACUUGAGUUUAUCAACCAGGGACUCAUAUAGCUUUAUGAUUUUUUUCCACCUGCUAGGGAGAAUGUUAUGCUUUAUUAUGUAUUUCAGCUCAUUAUCUUCUGUUCAGCUGGUGUCAGAAUCUGACCCUUCUUCUCUUGGAAAGACUGCAAUUCAUAUUUUUAUGUUUACAUAUUUUCACAUCACUAAUGAGUAAAUGUGAUAUAUUAUUGGAUAACAACAAAGUUUCUUGUGGUGUGUCAGAUGAAUGAGAAGUGUUCCACAGGAAAAUAACAGACGUGCUAGCAGAUGGAAAUGAUGGCACAACUUGGACUAUGGCUCUGGAUCAGCAGGAUAAGCGUAUUAAAGAGUUCUCAAACUAUGGCAAGGAAAUAAAAAAGGAAAGUAUUGUUGUAGCAAGAAUUAAACUUACAUACUUGGUGAAUAGCAUAAUGUAAAUCAACAAAGAAUGUGUUCAUCUGAGUAAAUGACAGAGACUAACAUGAAUAGCAGUACUUCAAAUAGCAGUACUCAAAGUAGAGAUUCCUGGAAAAGUUUACAUGCUUUUCCAUAUUCCAGUCACACAUAUCUUCAGUAACUGUGUUGUCUAAAGAGUCAUUCCAGGCAGACUAAGUAAGAGAAGCAAUAUUCUGUAACACCAUGGAGAAGCAAAAAGAAAAGUGCAUAGAAACACCUAUUCUGCAUAAUCUAGUUACAAACAGGUUUUUAAAAUCGCUUGCUGAUGACACACAAGAAAGAUCAGUGGAAAGGGCUUUGUUGACUUUGCUCGUGGAGGGAUGACUUCAAAUUCCAGAAAGGAAACAAAAACUUUCAAACUAAUAAUCAGAUAUUAUCUCUCUAGAAGUUGGACUUGAAAGCCUCCAGAAAAUCUGAUUUGCAGAUGAUGGGGAAGUAAUGAGGUGACACAAAGAAAGCUAUUUGCGAUCACAUAUGAGAUUAAAAUAACACUUCUGUGAUGGCACAGAAAAUGUACUGUUGUAAAUCCUGAGUUGUCAUUGGUGACUCAGUGAGUCGUAUUUACCAAACUGAACACAACAAGUAGUAGAACAAUGAUUUACUGAUGACAUAACACAAUAUACUGCUGCUGAUGUACAGAAAUUACUGCGAGGCUCCAUGAGAAAUAAUUUGAAGAUAUUGCAUAGCUUUCUGGAUCAUCGCAAAGAUAUUAUUUUUCAAAGAAAACAGCAAAAUGUCAUACCCCUUCUCCUUUAGGAAAUAUGUCUCUGAAGACUAUCAAAGAGCCCAGCACACAGUGAAUCCAGCUGGUCUUUAUUCCAGGACCAAAUACAUUAUAGCAUUUUACUUACUGGGUGCUUCUAAAGCACAAAGGGAAAAUGAAGAGGAUUUGAUUUACUGUUGUCUGUCGUGGUUCUUGGACCAUAUGCUAAUAAAUACGUUUUCUGGUAAUGAAAUUAUUGCCAGAUAGUGGUAUUGGUUCUGUACCACAUAUGUAUAGAGCUAACUGCUGGAGGAUCUUGUGUUUGCAUUGCAAUUGGGAUGAUCUGGAUGGCAAACUGUUGUAUGCCCUUUGCCAGGAGAAAAAACGUUUCAUUCUUGAGAUUGAGCCCAAAGGCAAAUGGGGGUAAAACACAACCUCUACAGUACAUUAAAUUGCUAAUUUAUGCUCCUACAGCUUGCUUCAUCAUAUCUGCAACCCCUUCUAGAAAGCUGCUCAGUCUGGAUUUAGAGUUGCUCACGUGUGGCAGAUACCACACUGUCUUCAUGAACCUUUUAAAGGAUCUUCUUAUAUAAACUUGACUUACUAUAUGUUGAUAAAAUCUAAUACUAGUGUUACAGGAAAUCUCUAAAUGGUUACUCUGUUCUGGAUAAGAUACCAGCUUUUUAAAUAGACAGAGAAGGAAAAUUUCAUAUGCCAUGAAAAAAUAAACUUCAUUUCCUACCGUGUAUGGGUACCAUGGAGUAUUUGAGUUGUGGAGUAAUAAUUUCACUUGUAUACAAAAAUAAAGGAAUUUUCAGGAUAACGAAUUUCCAUGGAGGCAUCCAAAGGGAAUGUUCUUAUAUGCACACAGGUAAAAUUCAGUAUCACCCUGUUAUGAAGUGAUACUUCAUAGAUUCUAAGAUUUUAACAUAUUUGCCACAAAUUAGUUGACACAAUCCUAGAGAUCAGAAAUAAGUCUCUUCAGAGCUGAGUGAUUGUGUCUAAUGCUACACAUACUCUUAAAAGAGCUCUGAACUUACAGUCUCAUGUCACCUCUUUGAACUAUGAUGGCAGUGUAUGCCUUAUUUCUAAGAGGAAAAAGAAAGCAAAGGCAAAUAUAAUAUAAUCAAGUAUAUAUAUUUUUUUUCAAAUUUUGCUAUGCUCACAUGUAAAUGAGAAAGCUGCUUGUAAUUAACUGGAACUUGAAGCUAAUGAAUCCUUCUCCUAAGAAGGCUGGAUACUCAGCCACCCUGCUCAGAGAAGAGGCAAUUAGAGCAACUUACUCAAGACCAUGUCCAGUGAGGUUUUGAAUAUCUCUUAACAAUGAAGACCCCACAGCCUAUCUAGGCAUCCUGUGCCUGGCCAGUCACCAUCAAAAAAAUGUUUUUCCUGAUGUUCAGAAGGAACCUUUUGUGUUUCAUUUGUGCCAACUGCCUCUUGUCCUGCCACUGGCUACCACUGAAAAGAGCCUGGCUCCCUCUUCUGUACACCCUCUCUUCAGCUAUUCCUACACAUCAAUAAGACAUGCCCCUUAACCAUCUCUUCUCCAGGCUGAACAGUGUCAGCUCUCUCAGCCUUUCCUCAUAUGAAAGAUGUUCUAAUUACUUAAUCAUUUUAGUGAGAACUGGUUUUAUCCCUGGAGGUGUUUAAAAGAUGGAUAGAUGAGGUUCUUAGGGACAUGGUAUAAUAUAAUGACAAUGUUAGGUUAACUGUUGACUCAAUGAUCUUGAUGAUCUUUUCUAACCAAAAUGAUUCUACAAUUCUAUGAUUCUAGUCUUCAGUAAAACCCUAAAAAUGCAAUAAAAAUGUAAUAAUCAUUAACAGUUGUGUACUGAGGUAACUAUAAAUAUGUAUUUAAAAUAUUGACUGAAAAAUUGAGUCAGACACUUCCCAUUAAUACUGUUUCUCACCAUUUAUGGUAGUUUAUGGUCUUGGGGUGUUGCAUCCUUGCUAAAGAGUAUUACCUCAACAACAUAGUCCAAUUAUCGUUGACAGUUAAUAAAAUCCCAGAAGUUUAUAAGAAAUUACCACUAAGUAUGUGGUACGUAACUUAUUGAAAGUCACAUCCAAAUGAACUAACCAAACUAUGUGCUGUACUCUUUAGUUUGGGAACAUUUUGUUUUCUUUGUAAAUGUAACACAGCAGGUAUUGAAGACAUUUUGGAUGUUUUGGACUAUCCCAUGUUCCUUGCCUGAAACUUGGUCCCUUUAGCAACACGAUACUAUAAAAAUCUCCUGUUUUAUAAGAAAUGUCUACAUAUUGAAUUUAAAGGGCCAAAACACAGUGUUUUAUUGUUAGAUUAUAUUUAUUGUAGCACAUAAAAAACAGAGUAGAAGAAAACUCGUGGUGUCACCAAACCCUUCUAGACAAGAAAACUGGCUAUAGCCAAACCAUUCUUGGCAUAUGAUUGUCUAAUGCUGGUCUUCAAAAUAUCCAGUGGCAGAGUGGCAUAAUGUCCUCAGACAGCCUGUUCCAGUCCUCACUCUGCUCACUGACAGAGUUUCCUCACUUGGGUCUGAGCUAUAGUGCCUACAAUCUCAGCCUGCUAAAGACAGAACAGUUUGUUCUAUUUAUUACCUUUUACAUAUUUAAAGAGUGUUAUCACUCCCCUCCAGCCACCCCCUCUCCAGUCUAAACACUCCAAAUUCCUUUGGCAUAUUUUUUUCCAUAUAUCAUACUUUCUAGACCUGUGAUCAUUUUUCUUCUUUGUACUUUUUCCAAAUGGUAUAUAUAUCCCUUGAAUAAAGACCUCAAAAACAUAAAAUUGUGCUCCUGCUGUGGUAUUAUCAUAUUGAAUAGACAUACUUUAUUGAUUAAAUUUCUGUUUAUACAUUUCAGAAUGAUAUUUGCCUCUUUCUCCAGCCACAUGUCACUGUUGCUUCUUGCAAAGUUUGUGAUGUAUUUUAAUGGUCUGAGUUUUUCCUGAAGACUUUCAAUCCAACCUGUUCAUCAGAUUAUUUACACAAACUGAGCUAUAUGCCCGAGAGUGUUUACUGGCCUAUGUAUUGUUUGGACUAUGUUUCCAGUUUGUGAGGAAUGUACUACUGCCUGCUGGUGUGCUUGAGGGUCAUCCUAACCUGGUGUUAUCCAUAAAAUAGUAACAUUACUCUCUAUCCAAAUACCUACACUGCCUCUAAGACAAACCCUACUUACCAUUAUGCUUUAGUCUUGCACUAAACUUACUAUAGUUUACUAAGACCGUAUUUUUUAAAAUUGCCUAUGAGAAUGUUAUGUGAGAAAUUGUCAUCAUUCAGACUAAAGUCAAGAGAUAUCUAGUAUCUACUGAUUCUCUUCUGUCCACAAGACCUCCUACUCCAUCAUAAGCAGAAGUGAGGCUACUUUGGAGAGGUUUAUUCUCAACAAAUCCGUGUUGGCUCUUACUUACCUCGCUUUUAUCUUCCAAGUGCUUACAAAUAGUUUAGUUGAUUAUUGUUCCAGUACUUUUCCAAGAACUGAAGUUAAGAUGAUUCCUCUGCAAGUCUCUGACUCUUUCCCAUUUCUAAAGAUAGGCUCUGUAUUUGCCAUUUUCCAGGCUCUCAGGACUUCACCAUUCCCUUGUGUGUUCUCAAAGACAUUCCCUAGUAGCUUGGAAAUUAUUUCAGCCAGUUUUGUAAGUGUCCUCAGGUGAAUUAUAGCAGGGCCAGCUGAUUUGACAACAUCCUAGUUGGAUGAGUAUUCAUAUUUUUUUUUUUUUUCCUAAUCUAUCUUCAACUCUUUUUAUUACUGGUACUAGUUGUGAAUAAACUUCUGACCAUAAUUAAUCUUUGCAUGACAAAGCAGUGCCAUUGUGGAACCACAUUUGUAAGAUAUUUACAGAGUUUAUCUCCCCUGCAAAUGUUUCAGUAGAGAUAAGAAGACUUAAUCAUUUUAUAAAUAAAUAGAUCAAACAUAAUUCUGAUAUAAUUUACACCAGAAUAGAUCAAGACACAUGCUCUCCAGGUCAUUGUUGUUAAGGUGAGGGAAAGCAGAAAUAACUGCCAGAGAAAGGAAGCUAAUUUAAAUAGCAAUGUCUAGAGCUCUGAAUGUGUGGAUUUAGUAUAAUUAGUUUUCAUUACUGAUCAAAGUGUUAUUACUACUGUAUGCAGCUUUUCCAGUGACAAGCACUAUAAAAAGUCUGCAAGAAGUGUUAAGUAGAAAGACGAUAUAAUGAGCAGGCUUACUAAAGGGUCUCAUGGACUUCAUGAAGAAGUGCUUACUAUUUUUACAUUUAAAAAACGAAAAGUUAGUUAAAAAUAAAAGUUCCAAAAGAUGGACAAAUACUAAAGAUUAAGCCAACUUUUUCAGGGUCCAUAAAUUCUUGCAUAAAUCCUUCUAAUGGGAAAAAUCUUUAAAUCUUCAGCUUCUAGGAAAAGAAAGAAUGUUGAUUCUGGCACCAACUGUUAAGCAUCCACCUAUCAUUUUUCAUUAGCUACCAAAGAUGAAGCCAGUUAGACACAUAUGUUAAAAUUCUUCUUUGUGGAAAUGUAUAAAAAUCUGUCAAGUUUGUUUAGAGACUUUUGGCUUCACUACCUGUUAUUUAGCUAACCGAGAAGGCUGCCUUGAUUAGAACUUUGAUCUAGUCAUUUCACUUCACAGAUGUAGCAUUCACAACCUAACCAGAUGAAAAAAUGAAGACAUCUUUUGCAAUUCUUUUCCCACUGUAGCGCUGAAAUCUGCUUUUGGGAUUCCAUUUAGCUAAAGCUGACCUGUGUGAGAACAGGUCUGGCUGUUAGAUUGUAUCAGACAUUAGUCAGCCUUGGAGACACAUUUGGGGUGUUCUGACCUGCCCCAGCUGGAAAGAACUGCAUCAAAUGGUGGGGUGACAGGAGGGACAUACUGGGCAGUAGCAAUGGGGAGUUACAGCCACCAUUCUCCUUCCAUUUCUUGUGCAGGACAACACCAUUCCUUGUUCACCUGGCUGUUUAUUCCUUUCAUGUCAGUCACUGGAGGCUGCACCUGCUCUGCAAUCAUGAGUAUAGCCUAGGGGUACUCCUCUGGGAAGUAGGAGAUCUGAGGCUGAAUCUCUUGAGAGUCAGAGAGAAAUUAGGUCUGUGACCUAGGACUGAUAUGCUGUUUGCCCAGUUUAGCAUUCAUGUUUUCAGAAAUGGAUGUCCAUGUCUUUGCCUAGCAUUUCCAGUGGACUACCUUUAAACAUCUGCUUUCCCAAGGAGAGAAAUACAGACCUACUAUUCAAUUUGAAUCUCAUGAGUAGCCAGUUUUGUGGGUCUUGACCGGAGAGAUAUCUCCAGUCACCUGCUGUCUUGGACAGUUCAGACCAGUGCCUUGAAUUGCCAGUAAAAAUAGGCCAGCUAGGAUUUCUGCCAGUAAAACUAUUUCUUUUGUCAGAACAUGUUCAGGAACUCUGAAUUUCCAGGAUUCACAUUUCACAAGCAAUUCUUCUGUAUGGAAGGGGUGGGAAUUCCUGGGUUUCCAGCAUCUAUCUUCUGAUCCUAGGGCCAGGGCUCCCAAGGCUUCCAUGAAGAGAAACUGGCUAUGGGAAAGAAGAAGUUAGUUCCAGGGAAAUAUUUUUUAAAUUAAGUUUUCUUUCUGCUUUAUAGAGAAGACCUUUAAAAACAGUAAAAGCUAUUUGCAAGAGAAAAAAAUUCUCUUGAAGUUUUGAGAAAGACUAACUGGAAGUAAACUGAGAGAACAGGUAGGGGAAGAAUGGUAUGGGAUGACUGUCAGAUUAUCUGGCAUAUUCCACCUUCUGGUAGUUAGAGAUUUAUGUAAACCAUACAUGCGAAAUUCUCUGUGAUAGGUGUCCUCCUUUGAUUGAAUAGUUUUUGAAAAUAUCAGACUAAAUAAUUCAGCUGUUGCUGAAAAACAGAGAAAAAUAAUGAAGAAGAUAAAUAAAACAAAAAUCAAGGGAAAAACCUCUACCUUCUUUCCACAAGAACUUCAAAUUUCUUAGGGAAGUAGCCUCUCCAUUGGAAAGAACUUAAACAAACCAACAAACCUUUCAUUUUCAUUUCACCAGGAGAGAGAAUGUAAAAAAUCAUUCUGCGUUUGUCCAUGUUGGUUGUACAUCGCCCAUCUUUGCACCUCUUCCACCAUGUGUACUGAAUAAGGCAAGAUGAUUAAGGGUGGAAGAAGAUAAAAAUUAAAAAAGUUGAGCAGAGAAACAAAGACUUUGUCACUAACAAGGACCAGUAGGAGGCAAAUUUAAAGUCUUUCUUGGGAGUUGAAUGUCUAUCAGCUUUAAAAUUUUGUGUGCAGUGUUGUGUGUAAUAUAUGUAUGCAUCUUGUAUCAUCAAUGUAUCACAACUGUAAUAAUUGCAUCAUCUGCAGGCAAUGAAACAAUCUAUUCCCAACACUACCCACUAGAUACUGGAAAAUUCUACAAAGAAUCCAGCUCCGUUUUUGCACCAGCCUGUGUUUUGAGAGGGCUUAUUACAGCCAGGUAGCUGCAACCAGCUAGGUCAGUUUUGUCUCAGCUUCAGACCAAAAGUAAUUCCUGCAAUGCAGAGCAGGAGGGACACACAGGCAUGGCUAGACUGUUUAUUGAAUUAGUAGGGCCGAGUGUGACCAGCCAGAGCUAAGAAGCUCAGUUUGGCAAAACUGCCUAGGUAUCUGCACCAAGCUCCGCAGCAUUUUCAAGCAUGGUAGUGCACUAAAUUGGGUAAUGGUUCCACACCUAUAAAAACUGUUUUGUCCACCUUAAGUUUCCCUGCAACACGGAAUAUUCAGGAGCCCAACACUGGCAGCCAAGUGCUUCAGGACUCAGCUCUGGUGUCUUAGAAUUUAUUUGCUUGGGAUAUGGAUGCAUGAAGCUCAGUUUAAAAGCUUCUUCCAGAUUCAGCCUUCAUCUGGCCUGGCCAGCAUGUUCCACUACCAUUAUCCAGGACAACUCAAUCUCAUAACGUAUUGGAUAACACAGAAUCGACUAUAGAAACAUGAAAGUAAUUUCUUGCUCCAUGCUGCUACUUGAAGGAGAAAGGUAGAGCAGCAUUAGUUUAAUUUAUGGUGUUAUGAUCCAGAACUGGAAAGUACUUCUUAUGUCAUUGAUUCAAGUCCCCUGCUACUUCAGAAAGCACUUCAUCUAGUCAUGUUCAUAAAUUUAUCUUAAAAUUGGGUAGAUUUCUAGUCCAUACUACAGCCUCAGAAAAGUAAUUACAAAAUAGCAUUGCUUUGAUUAUUUGAAUUAUUAUGGUUUCCAGACCAAGUUCCUGGCUGGUUUACACAUGAUAGUUCUUGUGCCAACAUUGUUCUUUAACUUAGAUAUCCCUUUCCUUUCCAUGUUAUUUAAUCUCUUGAUGUAUUCAUGGUCAGUAAUUAAAAGUACAAAACAGGUCUUUUAUCUAGUUGUAUUUCUCUAAAGGUAUAUCAUACAUAUCCCAAUUCAAAGAAAAUCCAAGAUAAACUGAUACUUUGGCAUCAUUUUAAGAAAAUAAUCUCAUCAUCAAGCUGGGACAAAUAAGUGUAAUAUGUGGGCUGGCAAAUACCUGUUGUCUCCCUACCCAGGCAUAUUAUCCAUCCUACUCAUCGUUGCCUUGAACCAAAAAGCAAUAUUUCAGCGCUCCUGAACACUAGACAGUGCUGCCAGAGGAAAGGAUCCUGCAGAAGGCCCUGGAGCCUUUUUCUUCAUGGGAGGCAGAGGUGCAUUCAGGGCAGAGCCAAGGUCCAUUAGCACGUCAAAAUGGGGCAGCUGCGGCAACCUAUGUCUGCAUAAAAGCAAUAUACCUGUAAGAACAAGUAAAAUCUUGUGAACUGGAGGCUAUGACAUUGCCCUGUGUGUUGGUUUUUUUUACCCCCUUCCUUUUUCUUUUUUAUUUUUUUUGUGUGUGUUUAAUGUAAAGAUUGUAAAUGUCAUGAGAUACCUGGACUACACAGGCUCAACUGAGCCAAUGGGAAACUCACCAUUGGAUCAUUUCCAUAUACUUCAGCGAGUUUUGGAUCAGGCCCCAAAAUUACCUGCCAUGGCAGAGUGAUGCAGGGUCUUGGCUCAUUGGAUAGAGGAUAAUGGGUUGGUUUUUUUUUUUCUUUUUGGAAGAAUUGGCCAUCUGUUUUCAAGGGAGAAACCGUUUCACCUACCCCCCCCAAACCACAGUGUUCAUAUUAUUGAAAUGUUUUCUUAACUAUUAGAAACUCUCAUGGAAUCUGCAGUGAUUCAAGCACCUCCUUGGCGUGGCGUGGGGGGAGUUAUGUUUUCCUCAAAGCUCGACCCAAUACAUCAGUCAGUAGAGAAGUUGUUAAUUUUAAGUUGAUGGCUGGUGGGUGAGAAGCACAUAUGAUGUAGAUUUUCUUUGCCAUUUGGGGUUAAAACAAACAAGCCAAGAAAACUUUCAAGCAGACCAAGGGACCCUGGGAUAGAAGCCAUCUGCUGGUCAAGCUGUUCUAUCCUUUUGAAAAAUCUUUGCAAGUUUGCAAGCUUUGCAAGAGUUUAAAUCAAAAUCAGGGGAGAAAGCAGCCUCUGCCUUAAAACUGCUACAGUGUGAUCACUUAGCCAUGUGAUUCAUGUUAAAAUAGAGAUUCCGAGACUGCCCAAUUUGUUUAAAAAACAAGUGCUAAUCUUGGAGUUUUCUCAAUGAGUGUCCAACCUUUUCUUGUAAGGAUGCUAUUUACAUAAACUAAUUGCCUAUGUUGGAAAAAUGUGUUGAAAGAUGUAUUUUGUUUUCUUUUUUUCUUAUGACAAAGUCUUAUUCUGUAAGGGCUUUUUGAAAUCUUGACAUACAUGCAAGCAGAAUGUAUGGCUGCUCACAGCAAGAUCUGCAAAUGCUCUCCGGUUCCUACUUUUAUUUAAACUGGCAUCAGCAGAAGUACAUUAUAUUCUGCUUUACAAGCUAUUUUUUUUUUUAUUCCUUUUAGAAAUAUGGCCUUACUAUAUAAAAAUAUAUUAACUAUCUGAACUCAUAUUGUGUACAGAAGCUUGAAUAGUCUUUGCCACCGACACAGAAUGUCAGAAAUUAGAAACAGAUGGUAAUUACCAGGAACAAAGAUGAGAUUUCAGAGGAGAAUGGAUGCAUUGCAUUCCAGAGAACAUAGAGUGGUUUUUUCCAUGAAGAUUAAUGGCUAUUAUAAAGGCAUUGUGUUCAGUGAACUCACAUAUCACUGACUUACCUAGAAAGCGAAGCAACCCAUUUUUACAGGCUGACAUAAUUUAGAAGUUUGUGAAGGGGUCACUGUGACUGAUAGGAACCUCAGAUAAUACUAGAUACUUUCUUCCACAUUUUAUUUUGUAAUUUGUGGCUCCUGCCUUUAUCUAUUUCCUUGUUUUUCUCUGCCUCCAUUAAUCAUUCAGGUAUAUAGACUUUUUGCCUGUUGUGCUUGACACAAAUGAAAAUACAUUAUCUUAUCACAUUAUCAGAAAUCAUAAAUUCCAUACUUGCAAAUAAGACUGUUUUUAAUCAUAAGGAAGCAUUGCCAACUGUGUAUUUUCAACCAUUUGGCAAAUGACCAUCACUUAAAUCUAGUGUUUGACAUUUUGAUCUAAAAAUAUGUCUUUAAAAACAUACAAUAUCAAUUUCUUAUUUAUCUGUAUGGUCUUGCAGGGUAUAACAUCUCAGUAUAUAGGAACGAGGCUAUCAUUCUACAAAAGGUGGCAACAUGGUUUAAUAAAUAAUUUUCAGAAAACCCCUUUUUUUGUUGAAUUGUUAUUGCUCUAUUCAUCUCAUAAUAUUUGAAAAGGUCAUUUGCCAGUAGAAUGUUAUAUGAAGCAAUUGAAUUUUAUGACAGGACACCAUAGUAAGUGGAUGUGCUAAGAACUGAGAUAUUAAAUUAAAUUAUUUGAAGAAAGUAAUUUUCAGCUUUAGAUUUUGAAAUAUUUCAAACCUUUCACCAUUAGGUAGAGGAUGUUCUCUAGUGUCAAAAUUCAAUAUAACAAAUUUCAUAAAAGGUUAUUGUUCUGAAGUGCUCUGACCUAGAAUUCUGCACAUGUAAGUGGAAAGAAUAACAUAAUUCCAACCACAUCCCUGCCUUAUUCUGAUUCCAUGGCAUGAUAAUAUUGGCUUAAAAUGUCUUUCAAAUGGUUCACAUUGAGGCACUCAAGUGUAUUUCAUUGGCUUGCGUAGUAGAUCUCUAGAGGUCAGUCAUCUAAGACCUACUACUGCGAAGCAUUCAUUUUACUUCUAUGGCAGUACACAAUAAAAAGAGGAAGGCUAAAUGAACAAACAGUUCCUUCUCAAGAGAUAAAUAUAUUGCCAUCAUUCUGGGCUUCAGACAAGCUGAAAGCCACACUGGUAAACAUCUGAAAAACCAUGCCAACUUCUGCUCCAUCAGUAACACAGGAAAAUAUUUUCUCAAUGGAAAGAGACACCAAUGACAACAGGAAACCAUUUAUCCUAUUCAUUAAUGUGAGAAAACCCAGGGAGCUCCAGAGCCAAAAAAGGAAUCCAUAACAAAACUACUGAAACAGUCUAUUGAUAGCUAUGUUUCUUGAAAAUCUCCCUUUGGACUGAAAAUCCACUUACACAGACCACUCUUGAUUCUCACCCAUUCCUGCUCCCCUGGACAGUUAUUGAAACUAGGGCAGUAUACAAUCAAAUUUGCUUUGAAUUCCAAACCCUCCAUCUCAGAAGCCUCAAGAUCAGCAGGCCAUUAAAGCUGGGUUUGCUGGAGUGUGCUGAGGGGUCAGAGCACCACAUUGCCAGCAGCAUUCAGGGGGCACAGAUCCCAUCCUUCGCACCCCAGCUGAAGGUCCUAUGCAAAUGAGUCCUGUGCAGCCCUGGCUUCCUCAUCUGCUGCUCAUUGCCUCCCAAUGUGUUGGCCAUUGCCUCCCCUGGCACCCACCACCCAAACCCCCUUUGUCCUGUGAUGGGGACAGGGCAGAGUUGCCCUAGUAAAAGGAUUAGAGAAGUUAAGUGGUAAUGCUUUAAAGCACACUUAACAAAUACAAUUCCAUUGAUAAAAUGUUUUGCCAGGGAAGGUGAUUAGUUUACUUGUACUUCUUCUAAACACAUCUAAAAGUCAUAGAAUCUUUAGAACAACUGGAUUCAGGAACACUAUUAAUAGUUGUUCAGAGGAAAACGAGGUGAAAAAAGAAAUGCUCUUUCAAGAAGAAGAGUGAUUGUGUGCAUACUAGCCCUGUGUGUAUGCGAAAUACAAGAUGUGAUCUUGCACACAUACCUACAACUGCGUUAUUUAGAGAGAGAAGAAGUUGAUGCAGCGAGGAACAACCUUGGUUUUCAUCUACAUAUCCUUGCCAGAUACGUUAUAAUAUAUAUCCAGAAUUUUCAUAAUUUGUAUUUAAAUCCAUAACCAUUUACUAAAAUACAAUUUUGAUUUCCUAAUGUAUGGAGAUAUAGCGGAAGAUUUGGCGAGGAGAUUAGUUAAAGGUAAAUAUGCUUAAGUGACUUGCAUCUGUCUGUAGAAAAAGCACAUACAUCACACUAAUUGUUUUACUGACCUUGUGUGCUUGAUGAGUAGAACCUCUGUGUUAGAUAACAUAGGCCUGUGAGAAACUCUAGACACCUUAUGACUAUGUCUGAGAUUCCUGCUUUGUUGUGAGAAAGAGCAGGAGGCUGCACCUGCCUGAAGCCUUGAAAUACAGACAAGCUCAGCAGGCCCAGUGGUCUUCCAGCAGGGCUGAACUGACCAGCGCCUGCGUCCCCGCUGGUGUCACCUCUGCCUGGGAGCUUAGGUGUGGCUUCGGAGAUCCCCCAGUAGAGAGGAAACUAAAAUAAAACUUGCUCUGCAAUGCGUUUGUGGCCUCUGGCUCUUCUUGCGACGUGCCUGUGUAUGUGUACACACCUAUUAAACAAACAGGGACAUGUUUGUAUUAUGCAGAUAUCAUUAUCUUCUUUAUAGAUUUGAAAGCUCAGUAGCUUACACCCAAAUUUGCUAUGUAGGGCUGAAAAAUGUACUUUAAGAUCUGGCAUUCAUUACAAGUAUGUAGCAUACACUUGUAUAGUUACUGAAUUAGUCACAAAGCUAAACAUGUAUUAUAUAUAAAUGUUUUCAGUCAUGAAUGCAUAUUUAGAAAUGCCAAAGAUUACAUUAUGCUUCCCCAUCUUAUUGCUUAGUCCCUGUGGCAUUUUUUCGUUCAUAUUCACCAUAUGUUCAAUAACAGUCCUUUACAAAAUGUUGAUUUUUUUUUUCAUUUUAAUAUUAGAUAUUCUCUUCAGAAGGUGCCAUCUUGUGGUGCCUUUUUCAAGUGGAAAGGAACUUCUACAGAACGCUCUCACAUUUUACAGUGUUGAGCAAAAGCAUUUUCAAAAAUAUAGAAUUCACAGGCACUUUUGCUCAGUUUGAUUCAAAUGCUUUAUAAACGCAGAUGCUUAUAGACAUUUCUCAGCUAAAGGGUGUGUUUUUGACAAUAAAAUAAAGACUUCUCUCUGUGUAUCUUUGUAGAUUUCAGAUAUCUACAAGAUUUUGUUUCCUUUACUUGCAUUGUUUUCUUAGUUUACUUGAAGGUCAGUUAGCUUGGGAAAGGAUGUUUCUACUGCUGAGCAUUCACAUGAAUAAAAAAGAAUGGCCUCUUGGCCUCUUUAAAACCUUCUCAUUUAGCUGUGAUCCAAAAAAUUCCUUCCUGGAGGACUGCAGUGGGUUGACCCUGGCUGGGUUCCAGGUGCCCACAAAAGUUGCUCUGUCAUUCCCCUCAUCAGCUGGAUGGGGGAAAGAAAAUACAAUGAAAGGCUCAUAGGUCAAGAUAAGGACAGGAAGAGAACACUCAGUAGUUACCUUCACAGGCAAAAAAAACCUUGACUUGGGGAAAAAUUAAUUUAAUUAAUUUAAUUAAAUUAAUAUAUAACAAAUCAAAUCAGUGUAGGAUAAUGAGAAAAUAAAAAAUAAAUAUUAAAACACCUUCUUCCCACCCCUCCCUUCUUUCUGGGUUUAACUUUAUUCCUGAUUUUCUCUACCUCUUACCCCCCAGAAGCACAGGGGGACAGGGAAUGGGGGUUGUGGUCAGUUCAUUGCAAGUUGUCUCUGAUGCUCCCUCCUCUUCAGUGAAAGGACUUCUCACACUUCCCCUGCUGCAGCGUGGGGUCCCUUCCCAUGAGAAAAAGUCCUCCAUUAACUUUUCCAACAUGAGUCCAUGGGCUACAGUUCUUCACAAACUGCUCCAGCAUGGGUCCCUUCCAUGGAGUGCAGUCCUUCAGGAAUAGACUGCCCCAACAUGGGUCCCCCAUGGGUUCCUACCUAAAUGUGCCUGAGUGGAGCAUCCAUAAUUAUUAUGUGUUUUGUUUGAGCUGAAAAAAUAUUUCUGUAUCCAACUACUUCCCAGAAUCUGGACAUUCAGGAAUUCAAAGCUGGAUUCCAGUCUUCCACGUAGGAUUUUCCAAAACCCCAAGUCCCUUUCAGACUUCAAGGGGAUUCCACUUUUGAGCUAAGUUUUCUGGUCAAAUUUGUGUAUGCAAGGUAAAGGCCAAGACUAGAUGUAAAUGCUGUCUACUGUUUAAACACUCUGACAAGGCACUACUGCAUCCAGCAAAACAUUUUACCAUAUUAGGGGGUUGCCCUGUGGGAUAGGUUUGCUGUCAUCCCCUGGCCACUGUUUUCACAUUCCUGUAUACCCUCCAGUCUGCUGGUUGUCCUCUGAUCCUGGGAGUCAUGCCUUCUCCUGCUUUUGUCCAAACUGUGAGAAACAGCAAGCAAGCAAAAAAGAGAAUCAGGGGAAGCCAACACGUGAUUAAAAGCUAAAAGAAAAAGAAGAAAAAACAUCAAGCUCUUCUCAUAUGCUUUUUGACCUUGGUAUGUAGUGGUGCUGAGACUAUCCCAGUCUCACUCCAGCAGUGAUUUUAUUUCGGUGUACCCCAAGGCCUCCACAACUGUAUGAUGAAACCGAUAGACAACCAGUAUGCUUUAAUGUGUAGAUAGGCCUGGCAGAGGCAAACGUUUUAGACUUGGACUGUUUUCUGGGGGGGAUGUGCAGGAGCCAGACUGAUGUGAGAGCUUAACAUGGGCUCCCAGCCCAUCUGGCAUGGAAUGUGCUGCUUUGAUGUAGAGGUUGGGACAUGCUUUGGUGCAGAUACAGUCUCUGGGCCACCUGCAACAACCUGCUUUGAUAUGUGCUGUGAUAACUUUUGCAGCUCUCACAGGGAAGAAUUACCUAGGUGAAGGAAAUAGAUCUUGGGUAAUGCAGGUACUGUCUGUGCCGUGGAGGAGGUGUUUUGAUCUUGGCUGACAGAAUUAUUCUGUUCUGACGUUUCAAUUGUUUGGGCUUCAGAGUGUUGCAAUAAUCUGGUCCAUGUCAGACUGCUAACACAAACGGACAAAAACUAAGAGAUGGAAGGUAUCACUCAUAAUUAAAACGUUUGGAAAUCCACUUACACCGGCAGAUUAUGAUACUGUCAUCUCUUCUACUGAGUUGAUCAAGAAACUUCUGUAAUACAUUAACAGUUUUACAGAAAUACUAAUCAGUACAGCGCAGUUGCUAUGUAAACCCUUCAUGCCUUGGAUUCAGAUGAGGAUGAACUGAUGUUUUUUAUCCCCUGGUCUUCUAAAUUUUCACUAAUACUCUAUGUUGUGGAGGAUCUCAGUUUUUGCUGAACCUGUAAACAGGAAAGUUCCUGACCUCUGCCUCUCAGUUAACUGGCUGCACUAUCUCACAGGUCCUGCCCAGCAGUGAGAACAAAGAAAAUGUUGGUGACAAUAAGGUUCGUUGAUCUUGUAUAAACAUGGUAUGCAUAUGGCAGCUGUCAGCAGUGGGCACCAUCCUCCUCAAGAGGAAGGCAGGACCAACACUUAGGUUUCAGAAAUAAAGCCUAUACUUAAAUAUUUUUGGAUCAGUUCCUAACUUCUUCUUAUUGCAAGAACAGUCUAAUAAAAAGUCCUUCAGUCCUGAAGAGUAAAAGGAGCAAGAAGGGGUUUUUUUUUAAUUUAGUGCUGAACUUGCUUCCCAACUCAAAGGCAGCAGGCAGGCUUAGCAAGGAACAGCCUCAUUGAUUAUUUUAUUCUGUCUGACCCAUGGGAUUACAGAACUGGCUUUAAUAAGAUGGUAGUCUUUCUUAAGCAGUUUGCAUUGCAACUUCAGCACAUCCCUCGUGGCCAAAUUAAAAGAACCACAGCCAUGAAGUCAGCCCUUUCAUUAAUUUGUUGAAACAAGCAGUAAAGCCAAGCAUACUAAGCGAGCCAGUCUCCUAAGUUAUGUGAAUGGAGAUUCAUGCUCAACAGAAACAUGCAUUAAUAAUUUCGGAGGCUAUUUCUGGGGAUUUAAAAUAAUACCUUUUUAGUCUGAAGCUGCAGGUUUGUCCUGUAUUAGGAGCCCUCGGUUUCAUUACAAAUUCCCCUUUAAAACUAGCAAUGGAUUCUAGAAAUAAAGAAAAUUCCACCUGAAAAUAUAGUCGCUGUUUCUAGGUUUAAAUCCUUUAGAGAUUAUGGGUCUUUAACAGCAGACUAUUUUCUGGGUUCAAACAGCACAGAAGAUUACUAGUCCAGAAUAUGAUCAGACUCUCUCCUUUUGUUUCAAAGUAAGAUGUCUGCAUUCCCGAGAAUGCUUCCCACCCAGGAAGGCUGGGUUCAAGUAUGUGCCCUAACCACAUCUUACUUCUACAACAGAAUAAAGAGCUGGUCUCUGAAAGGCCCUGCUCCAUCUUUCUUCUUCACACCUCAGUUUCUGUGCCAAGGAAAUUAAAGUGAAUGGCUCAGAGAGGAUCAUGACGUAUUCAUAACAAGAACCUGAUCUGGGAAAGGAUUCCGAAGUGCAUGAUAGUGUGCAUCAGAAGACAAACAUAGAAUUUAAACUAAAUGCUGCCUGUGAGACCUGACUUGUCUACAGUCAGCAGUUUUAUCAGAAACAUGAACGGUGGUAUAGUCAUUGUUAGGAAGUGAGGUCAGUGGUUCAGGAAUCUAGACCACAUAUAUUGCUGUGCUUGUUUGUUUGGCUUUACCUACCUCUUGGUGUUUUUUCUUUUUGGUUGGUUGGUUGGUUGGUUUUUUUGUUUGGUUGGGAUGGGUUGGGUUGGGUUGGGUUGAGUUUUUUUUGUUAUUGUUGUUGUUUGUUUGUUUGUGGAUUUUUGUGUGUGUGUGGUUUGGUUUUGUUUUUGUUUUGGUUUUAUUUGUUAACAAAUUCACAGGCAUCACUCAGUAGAGAGUCAGACACAUUUGUUCUUUUGUUCUUCAUUGAUUUAAUCAAAACACGAGCAGUUGACAUAACUUGUGUUAUUGGUCCUCAUCCAUAAUCUUGCAGUGCUAAGCAGAAAUUAAUGUCUGGCGUUAUUGUCUUUCCUAGUCAAGGUUUUAGCCUUUCAAUUCCAUUUUCAAAAGCUAAGCCUAAAUGAACGUGUUUCUUGUGAGGAAUUACAUGCAGACAUAUUCAAAGUUCAUAAUCCAGACCAGUCUCAGUUUAUAUUACCUAUUUGAUUUGGUGACAUUCUAGCUCAUCUCAUAUUGUAACCUUUCAUAAUUUCCAAAAUUAUUAGUAAAACCUUGUGUGGUCUCUAUGUCACAUUCACUUGCCUACAAGUUACAUAGUUCAUUCUUUUGUAUUGCAUUAAGAAGUUACACAACAGGUAGUUAUACUACUAUUUCUACUAAUUUUGCUUGUAAAAAUAAUACAUCACAGCUUGCAGGAAGAUAAACAGAUGCAUUUUAAGCUUGUAUUCAACUUCAAUUUGCAAGUAAAGUGGGAAGACUAGGAACAUGAAAGGACUUGGUUAGAUUUAGUGUACCUUAUACAAGACAGUUCAUUCCUUGAUCAUUUAUGUUGAUUCGUGACAGUGAGAAGCUACACUUGUACACACAGAAAUAUACAGAGAAGGACAGUUGCUAGCGUGUUCCAUUGAGCUGGCUCACCCAUUUACUUCAGCUAUGCAAGUGCUUCUUCAAGGAAACAGCUGGGCAUACUCACACACACAAACAGAAUAUUGAAAUAGCAGCAAGAACUUUAGUUAAAGUAAUCUUUGACCCUCAGAUUUAACACAAUCAUCACUAAACAAGUCAUGGCAUUUCAGGGACCUGCUGACAGAUAGCAUUUUUAUUUUUCCUGCUGAACUUUGCUUUCAUUGCUAUGCUUAAAGAUGAAAGCAGCAUCAGGGCCUGAAGUUUUAACUAUGAUACACUCAAGAUGCUGUUUGGGAACCUGUAGUCUAACCAGACAGACUUUAUUCCAGGGUUUUGUUAAAGUAAUGACAUAACUUCUCUUAUGACUGACUUCAUAUUUUACUGUGUGUCUUCUUUACUGGGAAUCCUAAUAUUUCAUUCUAAUAUUCAUUAAUGAACCACAUCAUAGCACUUCUAGAACAAUUUAUGUUACGAGGUUUUGUUUUAAUGUGUUUCUUGUUGGCAGCUACAGAUCUUUCAGCAUUUCUACUUACUUUCCAAACUAUGGUUUUCUAGACCUAAAUGUUAUCUUGAAGUGUAAAUUUAUUUCUUUCUGCCACAAGCUGAAUUCGUUUUAGGUAUACAAUAGGUACAUUUUUUCAAAAUAAAAUCUGCACAUAAACCACAAAAAUAGUUAUUUUAAGCUGGAAUGAAUUAUAAGCAAACAAGCAUUUGAGAAAUCACCUUUAACUAUAUGCUCAAAACUUACUGGAAAGGAUUUGGAUUCUUAGCAGACAUAAAUACCUUUAAGGGCACCAAAAGGAACUUAAAACUUUCUGUAAGAUAUAUUGACUUUCUUUUUUGCUCCAAACUGAAUGUUCCUUUUUGUAUGUUUUUUCAAAACUCAUAUCUGAUUCCAUUUCUUUUUAGGUGUCCCUAAGCUAUAAUGAAUCUUUUAAAAUUCUAUUUUAACAUCCUGCUAAACACUCAGUGUUGAUUAUACUUAUGUCAAAAAUUGUAGAUAUUUGAAAUGGAGAAGGUCAUGUACUUCAUCCUCCUCUCCAAGUUAAAUUGUUCUCUACACUAAAUCUCUUAACACUUUAUUCGUCUUAGUUUAAAAUUGCUGAAUAAAGUUUUCAGCACUUCCUCUGGGCAACAGAGUGCUGAAAGUAAUACAAAAAUAUCCAAUCUAAUCUUUGCUGUUGU